Triticum aestivum (bread wheat) is the source of this 126-nucleotide non-coding RNA. The record is from Rfam. Lineage: Eukaryota; Viridiplantae; Streptophyta; Magnoliopsida; Poales; Poaceae.
CUGAUACUCCCUCCGUCUGGAAAAACUUGUCCCAAGCUUUUCUUUCAAAUGGAUGUAUCUAGCACCAACUUAGUGCUAGAUACAUUUUUUUGAAGGACAAGAUUUUUCCGACGAAGGAAGUAUCAG